Molecule: long non-coding RNA, 6660 nt
Filed under: Triticum aestivum (bread wheat)
Lineage: Eukaryota; Viridiplantae; Streptophyta; Magnoliopsida; Poales; Poaceae
Description: long non-coding RNA (TAES_LNC014253)
Source: RNAcentral
GUCGGAAGAGGUCAAAGGCAUGGAUGCACUUCACAGUUCAGAAAGAUGAUCCUGAUCAUGCUAAUUGCAACUACUGUGAUGCUGUACUGGGUUGCAAAUCCGCAUCGACAGGUACUGCUUCUUUAGUCAACCAUUUGAAGAUUUGCAAAAAGAAUCCUGCCCACAUAUGUAGCACUCAGUCCGAGCUUACCUACCAAGUUAGCGAAGAUGGUAAUUUGGUGGUUCCUUGGCAAUACAUUGAGAAAGAAGUUAGAGAAGCAUUUGCUCGCAUGAUAGUGAUAGAUGAGCUUCCAUUCAUAUUUGCAGAGAAAGAAGGUUUUAGGUUGUUUGUGGCUAAAGCUUGCCCAAGGUUCACUAUACCAUCUAGGACAACUAUGUAUAGAGAUAUCAUUGCUCUUUAUGAAGCUGAGAAAGCUAUGAUUAGAAAAUAUUUCAUUGGAUCACGUCAAACUGUUUGCCUCACCACUGAUACAUGGACAUCAAAAAGACAACAAAGCUACAUGGUCCUUACUGCACAUUUCAUUGAUUCUGGGUGGAAUCUUAGAAAAAAAAUUAUUAACUUUGUCUUGGUAGAUGGACACAAAGGGGAUGACAUUGGUAAAUCAUUAGAAAAAUUACUUAUUGAGUGGGGCAUUGAGCGAGUGUGCACUAUUACUGUUGAUAAUGCAAGUUCUAAUGACACUUGCUUAGCCUGCAUGAAGAGGUCUUUGACUAAUAGGGGUUGUACACAUGCAAAAAGUCAGUAUCUUCACAUGAGGUGUGUGGCACAUAUUGUUAAUCUAGUGGUCCAAGAUGGGCUAAAGAUAAUGUGCCAUCCAAUAAACAGAAUUCGAAGUGCUAUCAAGUUUGUGAGAGCCUCCCCAACUAGAUUGGAUUUAUUUAAAAAGUGUGUGCAGCUUAGCAAGGUAGCGAGUAAAGGUUUGAUUAAUAUUGAUGUGGCUACUAGAUGGAACUCCACAUUUAUAAUGCUAGAGACUGCUGAGAAAUUUGAGAGGGCAUUUGAGCAAUAUGCACUUCAGGAUCCCAACUACAAGACUGAGUUAGAAAAAACUGGUCCAGAACCUAAGCCUGAUACUCCUGAUCAGCGGGGUCCUCCAACUCAAAGUGAUUGGGUGUAUGUUCGUGAGUUCAAACAAUUCCUCCAACACUUCUAUCUCCUCACUAAUAAGGUUUCUGGCACUAAGUACGUUACAGCCAACACCUUCUUGGAAGAUAUUGCUGAUGUACAUUUUAUGUUGGGUCAAUGGAGUGAUCAUGUGAUUUGUGGUGAUGAUGAAAUAUUUAAAUGCAUGGCUACCAAGAUGAAAACCAAGUAUGAGAAGUACUGGGGUGAUCCUGAAAAGAUGAACAAGUAUAUAUUCAUUGCUGCCAUCCUUGAUCCAAGGUAUAUGGUUGAUUGGUUGUUGUUCAUUUGUCAAAUAUAUAUUCAUUGCUGCCAUCCUUCUAACUUGUCUUGUCUUGUCUUAAUUCUUUAUGCAAGGACCAAGGAAUCUCAUUUCUUUAAAGAGAUGAUUGAAGACACCUAUGGCAGUAUAAUAGGUAAUAGAAUCUUGACAUCUUCCCACAAUGAAUUUGUCUCUCUUUUUGGAGAAUAUAGAGAAUUAUAUGGAACCAGUACUCCUAGCCGUCCUAGGGAAUUAGCAUCACAAGCUCGUCCUAGUGCAAAUGCUUCUGAAAAUUCUCUAGUGAGGUCACGAUACAACCAGAAAAGAAUGAGAGUUUGCGGAGAGGGCAGCACUAGCACAAAUACUAGAACUGAAUUAGACAAGUACCUAGCUGAGGACACAGAAGAGUUGACUGCUGAAUUUGACCUUCUUGAAUGGUGGAAGUGCAAUGCUCCUUGCUUUCCCGUCCUUUCAAAAAUGGCUCGUGAUAUACUAGCAAUCCCCAUCUCUACGGUUGCUUCUGAAUCAGCUUUCAGCACUAGUGGUCGUAUUCUCGAUGACUUCAGAAGCUCUUUAACACCAGCAACACUGCAGUCGUUGAUAUGCACACAAGAUUGGUUGCGUUCUAAGUGUAUCAAUGUUGAAGCUGAUCUUGCUGAGUUGACCAGGCUGGAGGAAGGUAUUUAAAUGAAUGUGUAUUUCAAUUACUUCAAUGAUCAUGCAACAUUAAUGCUAUUUAAUUGAUCAUGCAAUAUUUCUGUUGUUUUUGUAGAAGUGGGUGCCAUUCAUUUAAAUGAUAAUGUGACAAUAUCGAUUGAUUGAUCUUCAUGCAUGGAGCUGGAGUGGAAAAUUGCUGCCUGAAGCCCUGAAGUGAUGAAACAAAUGCCAUUUUAUCUCGAUUUGCACCUUUUGUUUCUUUGUCAUGUGUUGCAAUGUACUGUACUGAAGUUUGUUAUCUCGAGCUGGAGCUGAACUUUGGUUGUUCCAGAAUUUGCACUUUGUACUGAAGUUUUUUUAUCUUGAUGUACUGGGCAUGUACUAGGGCCUUUCAAAAAUGGCUCGUGAUUUACUAUUUACUAGCAAUCCCCAUCUCUAUGUUCCAGAACUUUGCUUGUAUUGGGCAUGUUUAGUUCUGCUUGUGCUUGUACUGGACAAGUUUUUGUUCCAGAAUUUCUUCGUGUGGUUUCACUGGACAUGUACUAAAUUAGUGCUUGUAGUUGUAAUCGUAGUCUUCUACUAGAUUGUUGUGCUCGAACAUAAAUUCUUACAUGUUUCAGAAUUUCUUCAAGUAGGUAACCAGGUUGUAGUUGUAUUGGACAAGUACUAAAUUUGUUUUUCCAUGUGGCCAAACCAUGUGUUGAUUAAAAAUUCGUGUCAACUUUGGUUAUUUUGGUUAUUACCGAAACCAAACCGAAAGCAAAUGGUUAUUACCGAAACCGAACCGUAUCUAUGUAUAAAACCGUAUAAAUCGAAGUAUAAAAACCGUAUAAACCGAAAACCGUAUAAACCGAACCGAAUCAAACCGAAAAAACCGAAUGCACAGGCCGAGGGAGGAGGAAGGAAGAGAGAGGCACAUGGUGCACGAGCGUCACAAGUGACGUUGAUUGGGCUUCAGCCAUUUUUUUUUUGAGUUUCAAUCAAAGGAAUAUAUUGGGUUACUCUACUCUCUCCACUCUAUUCCUUGGGAAUUUUCCAAUGCUAGAAAUUCUUAGAACUAUCCUGCAAACGAAACAAUCUUUGCAAAUAUGCUGUUCACAAUUUUCUACAAAGCUUCGGUCAUUCUCUGGUUUGCGGCUUAUAAGGAAAAUUAUUGUUUUGCGUGAAUUAUGGUCUUUUUGCAGCUCUUGGGCAGUUUCUUACGAUUACAUGGGAGCGAAUCGAAAAUUGAAACUCAAGGGGUAUCUGGGAAUGCUGAUUAACAAAUGAUUACCAUCAAAUGUACGUGGACACGCUCGGAUUUGUUCAUAGGUGCCAAAAGCAAAAGCAUUUGAGCCUCCUUCUAUGCACAGUGUGCGAUGAUGGUAUCAUGCGAGGCGAGAACGGACUUGGCCGCACUUGGAUCCAACUCGUCGACUUUGAGUACAACAUCUUUUGCUCCUCGCAUGCUUCCUUGAUCUAAAACUUCCUUUCCUCAAGCUCAAACUUCUUCGUUUGGACUUCCAUGAACAAGCCAAAACUCUUCGUCUUCUUUUCAUCCCCGAGUUCGUCGUGCUUGGCGCAUGCCUCCUCCUUCUCCGCCAUGAUGUUGUCUGACAUCUUGGCUGUCAUCCUUUCUCGCUUUUCCUUGUCGGUCUCCCAUUUCCUCCCCCUUGCUUCGAUAUUUGGAUCAACAUCAUCGUCAUUGGUUUUGGUGUUGGUGGUCUUGGUUCACGCUGUGCAAAACCGAACCGAAAACCAAAAACCGAACCGAAAAAACCAAACCGAACCAAAAUUCCGGUUUUUUCAGGUUUUGGUUAUGGUUUCAGUUUGCAAAAUAAGAAACCAUAUUGCAUUUGGUUUUUUCGGUUUAAAACCGAAAAAAUUCGGUUAAACCGAACAAAACCGAAAGGUCCAAUAGAUUUCACAGAAUCAGUCAAUCACAGGCAGCUCACAGCACAGGCCCAUCGGCCAUCGCUCGCGGGUCGCGGCCCAGCGCGGCAACGCCCCAGGCGGCCAGGCCCCAGCCUAACCUCACGCACGCUUGCUUCAACCCUAGCAUUAGCAAUUCCCCACACGCACACGCAGAGCAGUAGAGAGCGGGAUGGCGGCGGCGCCCUAGCUAGGUCACACUCCGGCCGUCCGGCGCAUCCAUCAGCUCCCCUCCGUCCUCCGUCCUCCGUCGCGCACACCGGCAUCGCCGUCCUCCGCCCUCCGUCGUCCGUCGCACGCAUCGGCCUCGCCGUCCUCCGCCCUCCGUCGUACAUCGCACGCACCGGCAUCGCUGACUUCUGCCCUCCGUCCUCCGCGUCGCUGACCUCCGCCCUCCGUCGCGCGCACCGGCACACGCCUCCACGGAGCAGGACACGAGCCGCCGGAUGGUAAGGCACUUUCUUUUUUCAUCUUGAUUCGCUCUGGACUCUGGUAGAAGAGUUGUUCAGUAGCGAACACACACAUAGAUGUUCCUAUUUAGUUACUGAACAUGGAUGGAUGCAUGGUUUCACUAGUUUGUUACUGAACAUGGGUGUUUCCUAUAAUCCUAUUUAGUUUUCCAGCAACUUUUUUAGUAUUGGUUCUGCUGAUGGUCACUGAUACUGAAUGAAAACUACCUGACUUAUUUUUUUCAGGUGUCCGAGAGUGUUAGAGUUAACCUUGGCGCUGGUUCUGCUGCUGAUCAACCUCUCUCAAUAGAUCCUGAUGUUACCCCUUGCAGUGUGGGGGGGAAAAGUCGGAAGAGGUCAAAGGCAUGGAUGCACUUCACAGUUCAGAAAGAUGAUCCUGAUCAUGCUAAUUGCAACUACUGUGAUGCUGUACUGGGUUGCAAAUCCGCAUCGGCAGGUACUGCUUCUUUAGUCAACCAUUUGAAGAUUUGCAAAAAGAAUCCUGCCCAUAUAUGUAGCACUCAGUCCGAGCUUACCUACCAAGUUAGCGAAGAUGGUAAUUUGGUGGUUCCUUGGCAAUACAUUGAGAAAGAAGUUAGAGAAGCAUUUGCUCGCAUGAUAGUGAUAGAUGAGCUUCCAUUCAUAUUUGCAGAGAAAGAAGGUUUUAGGUUGUUUGUGGCUAAAGCUUGCCCAAGGUUCACUAUACCAUCUAGGACAACUAUGUAUAGAGAUAUCAUUGCUCUUUAUGAAGCUGAGAAAGCUAUGAUUAGAAAAUAUUUCAUUGGAUCACGUCAAACUGUUUGCCUCACCACUGAUACAUGGACAUCAAAAAGACAACAAAGCUACAUGGUCCUUACUGCACAUUUCAUUGAUUCUGGGUGGAAUCUUAGAAAAAAANNNNNNNNNNCUGAAUUUGACCUUCUUGAAUGGUGGAAGUGCAAUGCUCCUCGCUUUCCCGUCCUUUCAAAAAUGGCUCGUGAUAUACUAGCAAUCCCCAUCUCUACGGUUGCUUCUGAAUCAGCUUUCAGCACUAGUGGUCGUAUUCUCGAUGACUUCAGAAGCUCUUUAACACCAGCAACACUGCAGUCGUUGAUAUGCACACAAGAUUGGUUGCGUUCUAAGUGUAUCAAUGUUGAAGCUGAUCUUGCUGAGUUGACCAGGCUGGAGGAAGGUAUUUAAAUGAAUGUGUAUUUCAAUUACUUCAAUGAUCAUGCAACAUUAAUGCUAUUUAAUUGAUCAUGCAAUAUUUCUGUUGUUUUUGUAGAAGUGGGUGCCAUUCAUUUAAAUGAUAAUGUGACAAUAUCGAUUGAUUGAUCUUCAUGCAUGGAGCUGGAGUGGAAAAUUGCUGCCUGAAGCCCUGAAGUGAUGAAACAAAUGCCAUUUUAUCUCGAUCUGCACCUUUUGUUUCUUUGUCGUGUGUUGCAAUGUACUGUACUGAAGUUUGUUAUCUCGAGCUGGAGCUGAACUUUGGUUGUUCCAGAAUUUGCACUUUGUACUGAAGUUUUUUUAUCUUGAUGUACUGGGCAUGUACUAGGGCCUUUCAAAAAUGGCUCGUGAUGUACUAUUUACUAGCAAUCCCCAUCUCUAUGUUCCAGAACUUUGCUUGUANNNNNNNNNNNNNNNNNNNNNNNNNNNNNNNNNNNNNNNNNNNNNNNNNNNNNNNNNNNNNNNNNNNNNNNNNNNNNNNNNNNNNNNNNNNNNNNNNNNNNNNNNNNNNNNNNNNNNNNNNNNNNNNNNNNNNNNNNNNNNNNNNNNNNNNNNNNNNNNNNNNNNNNNNNNNNNNNNNNNNNNNNNNNNNNNNNNNNNNNNNNNNNNNNNNNNNNNNNNNNNNNNNNNNNNNNNNNNNNNNNNNNNNNNNNNNNNNNNNNNNNNNNNNNNNNNNNNNNNNNNNNNNNNNNNNNNNNNNNNNNAGAGGUCAAAGGCAUGGAUGCACUUCACAGUUCAGAAAGAUGAUCCUGAUCAUGCUAAUUGCAACUACUGUGAUGCUGUACUGGGUUGCAAAUCCGCAUCGGCAGGUACUGCUUCUUUAGUCAACCAUUUGAAGAUUUGCAAAAAGAAUCCUGCCCACAUAUGUAGCACUCAGUCCGAGCUUACCUACCAAGUUAGCGAAGAUGGUAAUUUGGUGGUUCCUUGGCAAUACAUUGAGAAAGAAGUUAGAGAAGCAUUUGCUCGCAUGAUAGUGAUAGAUGAGCUUCCAUUCAUAUUUGCAGAGAAAGAAGGUUUUAGGUUGUUUGUGGCUAAAGCUUGCCCAAGGUUCG